This 375-nucleotide ribosomal RNA is filed under the name uncultured bacterium. RNAcentral's name for it is "bacterial SSU rRNA". It matches the Rfam family "Bacterial small subunit ribosomal RNA", at positions 523 to 898 of the family's 1533-position model. The record is from RNAcentral.
AUACGUAGGGGGCAAGCGUUGUCCGGAAUUAUUGGGCGUAAAGCGCGCGCAGGCGGUUUCUUAAGUCUGGUGUUUAAGUGCGGGGCUCAACCCCGUGUCGCAUCGGAAACUGGGAGACUUGAGUGCAGAAGAGGAGAGCGGAAUUCCACGUGUAGCGGUGAAAUGCGUAGAGAUGUGGAGGAACACCAGUGGCGAAGGCGGCUCUCUGGACUGUAACUGACGCUGAGGCGCGAAAGCGUGGGGAGCAAACAGGAUUAGAUACCCUGGUAGGCCACGCCGUAAACGAUGAGUGCUAGGUGUUGGGGGGGUCCACCCCUCGGUGCCGAAGUUAACACAUUAAGCACUCCGCCUGGGGAGUACGGUCGCAAGACUGAA